This is a non-coding RNA of Pseudonaja textilis, 101 nucleotides long. The record is from RefSeq and is a predicted model, not a curated record. Lineage: Eukaryota; Metazoa; Chordata; Lepidosauria; Squamata; Elapidae.
UCGUCGGCGAAGCCCAGGAAGAUCAUGCAGCAGAUGGCCAGCAGGGCGCCCACCAGCGCCACCAGCUGCAAGGCAGGCGGGCGGGCGGGACAGCCGAGCCG